UGCGGAAAGCAGCUUCCUCUUAGAUCUUAAAGCAAGACUCCCCAGGGGCAUUCACACCAAUUUACUUCUCAGUGUGGGGCACUGUGAGACAGAUUCUGAAAGGCAGCAGUAGAUAAGAUGAUCUUCAAGAAGUAAUCUGAUGUUCAUCUGAAGAAGUGGGUUGCGCCCACGAAAGCUUGUGAUACCAUCUACAUGUUUUGUUAGUCUUUAAUUCUAUUUGUUGUUUUUUAAAAAAGUUUUUUCUGAUACAGACUAACUCUAGUACCUCUCUGAAGCUAGUAAAACACCUGUGAGGGAUGGUCUGGGUCAGUGGUUUUCCAAGUUGGGUCAUGGGCCCAUCUGCUGCUCCCUCGGUUGGAAAUGGCGAGCCACAGCCAAGCAAGGCUCUGGAGCUAUGGACACGUGGACAAAUAAAGUAUUGUGGGCCCACCAGAAGUGCCCACAACCCAACAUAGAAAUCCAGUGUUCUAGGUAUACUUAAACAUGCCUCACUACAUAGGGCUGGACUAAUGAUCUCUUUGGGUCCCUAUCAGCCCUCUACUGUCUUUUUCUGAACUCUUCACAAUGAUGUGUAUCUCUACUAUCUUUAAAGUAUUAAAGACAGGAUUUUAAAAAUAACUGCCUAAAAUCAGUAUUUUAAAUCAAUAAUAAUGCACCCAAAUAA
This is a non-coding RNA of Pelodiscus sinensis (Chinese soft-shelled turtle), 664 nucleotides long. NCBI's taxonomy places the organism in Eukaryota, Metazoa, Chordata, Testudines, Trionychidae. The record is from RefSeq and is a predicted model, not a curated record.